GAUGAAGAACGUAGCGAAAUGCGAUAAGUAAUGUGAAUUGCAGGAUUCAGUGAAUCAUCGAAUCUUUGAACGCACAUUGCGCCCGCCAGUAUUCUGGCGGGCAUGCCUGUUCGAGCGUCAUUUCAACCAUCAAGCCCCCGGCUUGUGUUGGGGACCUGCGGCUGCCGCAGGCCCUGAAAAGCAGUGGCGGGCUCGCUGUCACACCGAGCGUAGUAGCAUACAUCUCGCUCUGGGCGUGCUGCGGGUUCCGGCCGUUAAACCACCUUCAUAACCCAAGGUUGACCUCGGAUCAGGUAGGAAGACCCGCUGAACUUAAGCAUAUCAAUAAGCGGAGGA
Molecule: unclassified non-coding RNA, 336 nt
Filed under: soil metagenome
Description: partial contains 5.8S ribosomal RNA, internal transcribed spacer 2, and large subunit ribosomal RNA
Rfam family: 5.8S ribosomal RNA (bases 1-120)
Source: RNAcentral